RNAcentral lists this long non-coding RNA (566 nucleotides) under Homo sapiens (human). Its description in RNAcentral is "HSALNT0301201". Lineage: Eukaryota; Metazoa; Chordata; Mammalia; Primates; Hominidae. The record is from RNAcentral.
ACCUUGGCCUCCCAAAGUGUUGGGAUUACAGGUGUGAGCCACUGCACCUGGCCGGUCUCUGUCUUUUAGAACCUUAUGGUGAUGGAACACAGAGCAGGCACUUGCUGGCUAUUAGCUGACUGCCCAAAUGAAUGCACUAUCAGACACUGCAGGAAAAAGGAUAAAGAGAACACUUUCAAGUUUCUCUUUCUUCAGUUCUUUGCUACUCAUCUACUCUGUCUUUUAAUGGGCCUCUUCCACUUCCUCCUUCUGUGCCUCACCAUGGGUCACUGUGGUCAGGGAGACUCAGCUCUUUGGCCUAGUAUGUAAAUCUAAAAGCUGUGCAAUGGUUCUAUUUAAAUUGGAACAAUUCAUGCAGCCAGUCUUUACUGAACAUGUACGUGCCUAGGAAGUCUCAGGAAUGGAUAGAAGAUAAAGUACAUAAUAGUUUCCUGAAGCAGCAGAAUGAAAGAACUCUCUGUGGCAUGAAAAUUUACUGGAGGCAGCAGCUGAGGCUGUGGUGGGAGAAGAAUGACAAGAACUGAGCGUGGGCCACGGGCUCUUACCUUCAGCAACUUCAUCAGCUC